RNAcentral lists this ribosomal RNA (680 nucleotides) under Pristimantis gloria. Its description in RNAcentral is "partial 16S ribosomal RNA". The stretch from base 421 to 667 matches the Rfam family "Archaeal large subunit ribosomal RNA", at positions 1787 to 2143 of the family's 2987-position model. The record is from RNAcentral. Lineage: Eukaryota; Metazoa; Chordata; Amphibia; Anura; Strabomantidae.
GAAAAGAAUUUAAGUCCAACCUAAAGUAAUCUCGAUUCACAUAAAUCACCAUACCACUUCAGAGCAAUUCAAAUGAGGUACAGCCCAUUUGAUACAGGAUACAACCUUAACUAACGGGUAACAUUAAAUCUACACCUUCAAGUAGGCCUAAGAGCAGCCACCAUUAAAAAGCGUCAAAGCUUAAUCAUGUUUUCAUCAAUUUAAAAUCCCCCAUUGACCCCUUUAACUUUACUGAGAAUUUCUAUAUCAUAUAGAACAUUUUAUGCUAAAACUAGUAACAAGAGAAAACCCUCUCCCAAUGCAAACAUAAGCCAGCAAGAACCCAUCACUGGCAACUAACAGACCUAGACAAAAGUAACAAAAUCACUAGAAAACCCUACUUCUCACAACUGUUAACCUAACACUAGAGCAUUUCAGGAAAGAUUAAAAGAAAAAGAAGGAACUCGGCAAACACUAAUCCCGCCUGUUUACCAAAAACAUCGCCUCUUGUCCCUAUAAGAGGUCAAGCCUGCCCAGUGACUUUGUUCAACGGCCGCGGUAUCCUAACCGUGCGAAGGUAGCGUAAUCACUUGUUUUCUAAAUAAAGACCAGUAUGAAAGGCAUCACGAGGAUUAAACUGUCUCCUUUUUCCAAUCAGUGAACCUAAUCUCCCCGUGAAGAAGCGGGGAUUAUUUUAUAAG